GAUGAACGCUAGCGGCAGGCUUAAUACAUGCAAGUCGAGGGGCAGCAGCUUUGUAGCAAUACAAGGGCUGGCGACCGGCAAACGGGGUGCGGAACACGUACGCAACCUUCCUUUAACUGGAAGAUAGCCCACCGAAAGGUGGAUUAGUACUCCAUAACAUAUUGAAGAGGCAUCUCUUUGAUAUUAAAGCUCCGGCGGUUAAAGAUGGGCGUGCGUCUGAUUAGGUAGUUGGCGGGGUAACGCCCACCAAGCCUUCGAUCAGUAGCUGAUGUGAGAGCAUGAUCAGCCACACGGGCACUGAGACACGGGGCCCGGCUCCUACGGGAGGCAGCAGUAAGGAAUAUUGGUCAAUGGACGCAAGUCUGAACCAGCCAUGCCGCGUGGAGGAUGAAGGCCCUCUGGGUUGUAAACUUCUUUUCUUUGGGUACGAAACCCCCUGUUUCUACGGGGACUGACGGUACCAGAGGAAUAAGCACCGGCUAACUCCGUGCCAGCAGCCGCGGUAA
Molecule: ribosomal RNA, 506 nt
Filed under: uncultured bacterium
Lineage: Bacteria
Description: bacterial SSU rRNA
Rfam family: Bacterial small subunit ribosomal RNA
Source: RNAcentral